CAGCCGUAAACAAUGUGCGUUAGGUGUGUCGGUAACCACGUGUUACUGAUGCGCCGAAGAGAAAUCGUGAGACGCACCACCUGGGAAGUACGGUCGCAAGGCUGAAACUUAAAGGAAUUGGCGGGGGAGCACCACAACAGGUGGAGCCUGCGGUUUAAUUGGAUUCAACGCCGGACAUCUCACCGGAUAAGACAGCUGAAUGAUUGUCGGGCUGAAGACCCUGCAUGACUAGCUGAGAGGAGGUGCAUGGCGUCAGUGACU
Molecule: ribosomal RNA, 261 nt
Filed under: uncultured archaeon
Lineage: Archaea
Description: partial 16S ribosomal RNA
Rfam family: Archaeal small subunit ribosomal RNA
Source: RNAcentral